UACAGAGGGUGCGAGCGUUAAUCGGAAUUACUGGGCGUAAAGCGUGCGUAGACGGUUAUUUAAGUCGGGUGUGAAAGCCCCGGGCUCAACCUGGGAAUUGCAUUCGAGACUGAAUAGCUAGGGUACGGUAGAGGGUAGUGGAAUUCCCGGUGUAGUGGUGAAAUGCGUAGAUAUCGGGAGGAACACCCGUAGCGAAGGCGGCACUCUGGGCCGGUACUGACGCUGAGGAGCGAAAGCGUGGGGAGCAAACAGG
This 253-nucleotide ribosomal RNA is filed under the name uncultured bacterium. Its description in RNAcentral is "partial 16S ribosomal RNA". It matches the Rfam family "Bacterial small subunit ribosomal RNA", at positions 524 to 776 of the family's 1533-position model. The record is from RNAcentral.